Molecule: small nuclear RNA, 63 nt
Organism: Rattus norvegicus (Norway rat)
Lineage: Eukaryota; Metazoa; Chordata; Mammalia; Rodentia; Muridae
Product: U7 small nuclear RNA
Source: Ensembl
AGAUAAUAUAACUCUUUCAGAUUUUUUUCUAGCAGGUUUUCUGACUUUGAUUGGAAAACUCAA